ACAUCUUAACGGCUUGUGUGCCUUGGGUUCCCUCUUUUUUUUUUCUUUUCUUCUUCUUUUCAUUUUUGCUCUAUAAUGUAUACAUGUUUUCGCCCUACUUAAUGAAUCACCGUGAAACCUGCUUGCCCGUCAAAACAAAUAAUGGUUGUGUGCAUCAUAUAUUCAUAUGAUACAAAGGCUAGAGGUAUCACUCUCCAUUCCAGGGAAGAAAACGUGAGCGAGAGAGUGACUUUAACACGCGUUUUCAAGGACGAAGCCCAGAGAUAAGUCGAUAUGCAUAAAAAUGCUCACACACCUAUAUGCGUGAUCGUCAGCUAGCUUUGAUGGCAUGCAACAAGUUGGAGCAAGUGGUCAGAGACUUUUUUACCCACAAUGGGUGGCGGUCUAGUUUGCGGAUUGAGUCUGCAUAGAGAUGUUACUUUUCUUUCGAUGUAAUAAUUUAUUUGUGUCUCGUACUUGGUUGGCUGUGUGCGUUUCGGCGCAGAGACCGGGGAUGUGAUACUCUAUGUGUAUUGAUCGAUAUGCCGUCGAGAUCAAUAAAAAGCUUUCAUUUUCGAAAAAUGCGUGUGAAUGUGUGGGUCGGGGGUAUUUAAAAACAUUUUAGAUUCAACCUACGCAAAACAGCCAGUGAAGUUUUUUUGCUAUUCCCCCGGUAAUGUGGCGGCCUCGUCGUCUUGAUCAAGACUAUUGGUUCAGCACCGGGACGCCGGGCUUCGUGCCGCGCGGGCCCAGGUCUACUAGUUUGGAGCGCCCAUGUGCGGUUUAGACUUGGGCCUUCAUGUACAUGCGGUUGCUAGACUAGAAGCCCACGCAGGCUAGCUCUGCUGGUGGGCUAUUCUCAAAAAUUAAUUUGUUAAUGGUGGGCUUCCUCGCCUCUCCCUUCUUCUUCCCUGCUGCAUCCUGCAUGGCGCGAUCCUCUAAAAGCAUUUUUCUCGCGCGAUCCUCAGGGAAAAUAAAAAAAGAAGUCCUCGCGCGCUCUCAGUUGCUUGUUUGGUCGCGCAAACGCUUGGAAUCGAUCGGCCGGUUCGGCGCCGUAUAGAUGCCCAUGAGCUAGCUAAGCGCUCGAUCCGACAGUCGAUGUCGAUCAAGCAACAGAUGGAACGAUUCCGGAUGGCACCCGGCAGUUUCGGGGCCGGGUCCCGCCAUACCAGAUCCGGACCCGUACCCGGCACCGGGUCCACAUUUUUCUCAGACCCGGACCCGAUACGGUCCCGGGUAUCCGCAGGUAAACCCGACCCGGCGACCGUAUACACCAAAAAGUUCAAAAAACAAAAAUAAAUUACAACAAGGAGCUGAACUUUUACACAAACAACCCCGAAGCAAAAUAGAAAAAAGCAAUCCAAUCCUAGGAGGCUAGGAGCAGCGAUGC
This 1369-nucleotide long non-coding RNA is filed under the name Brachypodium distachyon (stiff brome). RNAcentral describes it as "long non-coding RNA (BDIS_LNC003155)". Lineage: Eukaryota; Viridiplantae; Streptophyta; Magnoliopsida; Poales; Poaceae. The record is from RNAcentral.